This 646-nucleotide long non-coding RNA is filed under the name Ananas comosus (pineapple). Its description in RNAcentral is "long non-coding RNA (ACOM_LNC010415)". The record is from RNAcentral. Lineage: Eukaryota; Viridiplantae; Streptophyta; Magnoliopsida; Poales; Bromeliaceae.
ACUAAAUUAAAAACAUAUAAAACUUAUCCGAAGAUAAAUUAAAGUUAAAAAAAAUUUGAUAAAUAGACUCAUACCACCAAUAACUAUUUAAAUUUAAAAUAUAAAUAUAAAUUUUAUUUGAUUUAAUGUGACGUGCAUUGCACGUGCACUAUGACUAGUAUACCCAAAAAGAGAGGUUCGUGCCAGAAUUUCGUAAAUCUAAAAUAAUUUUAGUACUUGAAAAAAAAAGAAAAUUGACAAGGCAAGGGCUCAAUAUGAACGCUUGGAUAAGGGGUAUAAGAUUUACAUUUAUUUGGGUGCUGUUAGUAUUACUCUAAAAAAAAUAACUAAAAUAUAGAGACACAACUAUAGGCCACUUUGAAAAAGACCUUUCAGGUUGUAUUUAUUUAUUCUUUAAUUUAUACCCUUUUUGUUAAGGAUUUUUUAAGUUAGCGGAUUUCGUGAAGUCGAAUGGAGUCUUGAAGAGAUGAAGAUGAAGGUUGAAGAGAUGAUUUAAGCAAUUCAAGAUCAAAAGACCCAUUCAUGAUGCUCGGAAUCUCAGGUAUGAAUAUUAAUAUGUUGUAGUAAGAUUCCUGGUUCAUAAAUAUGUUUGGAAGACUUAGGAUGAUUUGAAAAUAUAAAUCUGGACAAAACUGAGUUUUUCAAG